RNAcentral lists this transfer RNA (68 nucleotides) under Araeosoma owstoni. Its description in RNAcentral is "tRNA-Pro". RNAcentral also lists the same sequence under 2 other names. The record is from RNAcentral. Lineage: Eukaryota; Metazoa; Echinodermata; Echinoidea; Echinothurioida; Echinothuriidae.
CAGAAGAUAGUUUAAAAGAACCGCAACUUUGGGAGUUACAGGUAUAAGUGAAACCCCUAUUCUUCUGA